CUCAAAAAAAAAAGAAAAAAAGAAAACAAACCCCACACGCACACACCGCACACCGGGGCGAAGCGAAGCGGAGUUCUCGUCCACCACCAUCACCCACCGGCGAGCGAUGUCGGCCGCGGCGAAGGCGAGGGCGAGCGGCGGAAAGCUGGAUGGAGCCAAGGACCCGGACUAGGCGCCUCGUUCUGACAAGAGGCGGCGCGACAUGGACGACUCCGACCGCGAACUCGAGCUCGACAGAUCGUGACGACGCUGCGCCACAUCAAGGACAAGGCUCACAAGGACGGCCAGAAGAAGACCGAGCAGGCCAUCUCCAGGUGAUUCCACCUCCCCAUGUUUCUCCCCGGUCAAUUUCGUAAUGCUAGUGUGCACACUGUUUCUACCAGCCCCACUCUUAUGGGAGAUUUGUUGCCUGCAACACUAGGGUUCAGUGGCUACGAGUACCUGGAGUCCUGAACCUGCUGCCUGCCCUGAAUCCAAACCUUCUGCAUGCCCUGUAUCUGAACCUGCUGUAGGCCCUGUAUCCGAGCCUGCUGUAUGCACUGUAUCUGAACCUGCUGUAUGCACUGUAUCUGAAUUUAGGCUUCAGGAGUCUGUAAUUGGAUGUGAACUAGGAAUUACCAGUGUCAUGUUGUUUGUGAACGAUCAGGUGAUGAUUGAAGUAGUAGGUACCAAUGCGAUGACAGGGCUUAGAAGUGUUGCGUGCACCUUUUGGUUUAGCAUGAUUUAUCCACCUUGUUCAGAGUGAACCAUAGCUAGUUUUUUUUAUCGAAUAUAUGCAUCGCAUCCACCUCCCCAUUUUGUCCAUGUCUCACUCUCAAAAUAGCCUGCAAAGACUUGGGGGUUAUAUUAUUAUUUCUGUUUACUGCAUUGCAUUUAGAUAUUGGAAGUCUAUGUUCGCAUCACCAAAGUAGCAGGACAGCACCCCGUUGUUGUCAGGUUGUUUGUGACUGCUUAGGUCUCGUAUGUAAUUUCUCGCCAGUAGAUCCUAAACUUGCAAGGCGACAUUUUAGGCACAUUGCAAUGUUGUGGCAGUUGAUCAUAAACUUAUGGGAGAUUUGUUCCCUUCAAUGGUAUGAUUUUGCAGUUAUGAGUGUUAUCAGUGCUUCUAGCCUGCUGUAUGCCUGUACCUGAAUUUAGGUUCCAGAAGUCUGUAAUUGGAUGAGAACUAGGAUUUACGAGUGUUAUAUUGUUUGUGAAAGUUCGAGUGACCAUAUGAUGAUUGGAGUAGUGGGUAUGGUAGAUGCAACGAUAGGACUUGAAAGCGCUGCGUGCACCGGUUGGUUUAAGACGAUUUAUCCACCUUCUUUGUGGAACUAUAGCUAGUUAUUUUGAUAGAAUAUAUGUAUUCCGCCUUCCCAUUUUGUUCUUGGCUCACUCUCACAAUGGCCUGCAAAGACUUGGGAGUUAUGUAAGGGUUUCUGUUUACUGUAUUGCAUUUAUAUAUUGGAAAUCUAUGUUUGCAUCACCAAAGUAGCAGGAUCGCGUACCAUGGUUGUCAGGUUGUUUGUGACUGCUUAGGUCUCGUAUGUAAUUUCGCACCAGUAGAUCAUAAAGUUGUAAGAGAAAUUUUAGGCACUUUGCAAUGUUGUGGCAGUUGAUCAUAAACUUAUGGGAUAUUUGUUCCCUUCAAUGGUAGAAUUUUGGAGUUAUGAGCGUUAUCGGUGCUUUUAGCCUGCUGUAUGCCUGUAUCUGAAUUUAGGUUUCAGAAGUCUGUAAUCGGAUGAGAACUAGAAUAUGAGUGCCAUGUUGUUUCUGUAUGUUCGGGUGCCCAUCUGAUGAUUGGAGUAAGUGGGCAUGUACUGAUGCAAUGAUAGGACCUGGAAGCGUUGUGUGCACCUAUUGGUUUGAACAUGAUUUAUCCGCCUUCUUUGUGGAACGAUAACUAGUUUUGUUGAUCGAAUAUAUGCAUCCACCUUCCUAUUUUUCUCCUGACUCAUUCUCAGAAUAGCCUGCAAAGACUUUCGGAGUCAUGUAACUGUUUCUACCUGCUGUGUUGCAUUUAGACACUGGAAAUCUGUGUUCGCAUCUCCAAAUUAGCAGGGCAGCAUACCAUGGUUUUCCUGAUUGGUCAUGACUGCUUAGGUCUUGCAUGUAGUGCUGCGCCAGUAGAUCAUAAACUUAUAAGAGACAUUUUAGGCACUUUGUAAUGCUGUGGCAGUUGAUCAUAAACUUAUAAGGAAGCAUAGCAUACAUGAUCACCGGUAUGAAGGAUAGAUUCAUAUGAUGAAUUGAUGACCUCUCAGUGUGUAUAUUCAGUGGCUCAAAAUUUGAGCCUUUCCUGUCUGACAAAGGUCCCAAGUUAUGUCUAUUGCACACAUUUCAGCUGCUGGUAGAAUUUAAAUAGAUUCUUUUAACUUUCAGCGUUACAACAGAGAUUCAAUCUAUGGUACAGGACAUCAAGACAGUUUGAGAAGGAAAGGUGAACUGAGCUGUUUCACUCGUCUUUAACUUUCUGUGUGUAGGAAUAGAAAUUUCUGCUAUCCUUUUUAUAGUAAAGAUUUGGUAUGCUCUUUUUUUACUCAUUGCUUCAACAUGAACACAUACGUAAGCUAGUUCUUGAUAAUGAAAACUGUGAAUGUCCAUUGAAAUGUAGUCUGAAUGCUGACAAAUGUUACUGAUUGCAUUAGCUGGCAGAAGGUUCUUAAAGCUCUAACGAAGGCUUCCAAAGUGGUUUUUGAACUUCAAUUGAUACAAUGAUGUGCAUCCGGUUAUCUAAAAUAGUUUGGUUCCCAGCUUUAUUUUUAGUGCAGUGUGAAGGUUCAUUGAAGACCGACUACACCAAAUCUCAAGCCACACUCAUGACAAGUUCUGCAAAGACAAGGCUUCACACAUACAGAAUUUCAAAGGGACGCCGAAUGGGCGUCUGCUACCAUAUUUUCUGAAGUCUAUGGCAUAUAUACACCCUACGUGUUACGAUAAAUACAUACAUGUAGAACAUAGUCUGCUCUUGCCCUAGCUAUUGACUCUAGAAGAACAGUAGCUGCUUCCUGUCUAAUUAUAUAAGCAUAUUUGCGUAUAAAUGAGUUUAUUAUCGUUUCCCUGACACAUGUAGGAGAAUUAUUGCCAAAAGUUAUCCAAAGAAAACCAUGUCUUUGUUAACCUUUUAAGCUGGUCAAACUGUGUGUGCAGUUUAUGAGAAAUCGUGCUACUGGCUAUUAAAUACACUUAAUUGUUUAUCAUUUGUUUGAAAGGAUGAGCCAAUAUCUUCAUGUUAUACUUGCGCAUAAUGAGACCUGAAUUUGUAGUUUCUUGCCACAUAAUGAAUGAUCUCUAUUGUCGAUUACUUACUUGUCCACACGUCGUGUUCUGCAGAUUUUUUUCUCAAAGUUUGAAGUUGAAAAGGAGAAGCUGAUAGUUCAGUAUGAGCUGCAAAGUAAGUAGAUGCUUACACUACUUAUGUACUCCCCUGUUCGGCUGUUCCUAAAUAUAAGACGUUUGGCAGUUCGAUUUAAACUGCCAAAACGUCUUAUAUUUAGAAACGGAGGUAGUAGGAAAGAUGUUUGCUGUAGUAGCUUGUCUUUUGAACAGUUCUUGUGUGUGGAAGAUUCUUUGCUCUUGCACAAAUACUAUCACUUAAACAGGGUAGAAGGAAGAGACUAGUAUUUCUGAUGUUGAGAAAAGAGUUACAGAGAAGCUAGCAGAUGCAGAAGAAUCUCUGAAGAAGUUGAAUCAGGGUAGGGUGACAAAUCCAUCAUCAAGCUUCGCUAGUCCUUUGCCUCGUUCCUGGGCCCCCGGUGACGAGGACUGAUACGGCUCUUGCCAGAUCGUUCCGUCUUUCAGAUCGAAGUGGACAGUGGUAUAUGGUUUUGAAGAAGAGAGAUGAUGCACAGUACAGGGGCAAGAAGAGUAGGUUUCUAUAGAGGUUUCGGUGUUCCGGUCAUGAUCAAAACUAUCUUUUUUCCUGCUCUUACAUUCAGCAGCCAUUGCUAAACUUGUGGCCGACCUUUGCUCAUGUUUUCCAACAUGUAUAUUUUCUAGCACCCUUCCCUAUGCCUGGACCAACAACAUUCAGUAAGAAACAUAUAGUGCCACAUAUAGAUAUAUCAAGCAAUUAUACAAUCUUGUCAUGUAUGUUUUCAUCGGAAAAUAGAAAAGUUUACAUCUAUUGCAAGGUUUAUCAUAUGAGCUACUGUAGUUGUUUUUAUUUUUUGAAAAGGUUUGUGAGCUAGUUAUAAGUAUAUACAUGGCAUCCUGAACUCUGAACUCUGAAGGGGCCUUUCACCUUGACCAUGAGGCGCUUCAGGCUGGUCCGGCACCGGCGGACUCCAUCCAUGGACAUGAACUGCGUCUCGC
Triticum aestivum (bread wheat) is the source of this 4293-nucleotide long non-coding RNA. RefSeq lists it as uncharacterized. The transcript has 3 exons. The record is from RefSeq and is a predicted model, not a curated record. NCBI's taxonomy places the organism in Eukaryota, Viridiplantae, Streptophyta, Magnoliopsida, Poales, Poaceae.